Molecule: ribosomal RNA, 253 nt
Filed under: uncultured bacterium
Lineage: Bacteria
Description: partial 16S ribosomal RNA
Rfam family: Bacterial small subunit ribosomal RNA
Source: RNAcentral
UACGGGGGGGGCAAGCGUUGUUCGGAAUUACUGGGCGUAAAGGGCUCGUAGGCGGCCAACUAAGUCGGAUGUGAAAUCCCCAGGCUUAACCUGGGAACUGCAUCCGAUACUGGAUGGCUUGAAUCCGGGAGAGGGAUGCGGAAUUCCAGGUGUAGCGGUGAAAUGCGUAGAUAUCUGGAGGAACACCGGUGGCGAAGGCGGCAUCCUGGACCGACACUGACACUGAGGAGCGAAAGCCAGGGGAGCAAACGGG